Molecule: ribosomal RNA, 1315 nt
Filed under: uncultured Alphaproteobacteria bacterium
Lineage: Bacteria; Pseudomonadati; Pseudomonadota; Alphaproteobacteria
Description: uncultured alpha proteobacterium 16S ribosomal RNA
Rfam family: Bacterial small subunit ribosomal RNA
Source: RNAcentral
ACGCUGGCGGCACGCCUAACACAUGCAAGUCGAACGAAGUAGCAAUACUUAGUGGCAGACGGGUGAGUAACAUGUAGGUAUCUGCCCUUUGGCCUGGAAUAACACGAGGAAACUUGUGCUAAUACCGGAUAAGUCUUUACGGAGAAAGCUUUAUGCACCAUUGGAUGAGCCUGCACUUGAUUAGUUUGUUGGUGGGGUAAUGGCCUACCAAGACUGUGAUCAAUAGCUGAUUUGAGAGGAUGAUCAGCCACAUUGGGACUGAGACACGGCCCAAACUCCUACGGGAGGCAGCAGUGGGGAAUCUUGCACAAUGGAGGAAACUCUGAUGCAGCGAUGCCGCGUGAGUGAAGAAGGCCCUUGGGUUGUAAAGCUCUUUCGUCGGGGAAGAAAAUGACUGUACCCGAAUAAGAAGGUCCGGCUAACUUCGUGCCAGCAGCCGCGGUAAUACGAAGGGACCUAGCGUAGUUCGGAAUUACUGGGCUUAAAGAGUUCGUAGGUGGUUGAAAAAGUUGGUGGUGAAAUCCCAGAGCUUAACUCUGGAACUGCCAUCAAAACUUUUCAGCUAGAGUAUGAUAGAGGAAAGCAGAAUUUCUAGUGUAGAGGGUGAAAUUCGUAGAUAUUAGAAAGAAUACCAAUUGCGAAGGCAGCUUUCUGGAUCAUUACUGACACUGAGGAACGAAAGCAUGGGUAGCGAAGAGGAUUAGAUACCCUCGUAGUCCAUGCCGUAAACGAUGUGUGUUAGACGUUGGAAAUUUAUUUUCAGUGUCGCAGGGAAACCGAUAAACACACCGCCUGGGGAGUACGACCGCAAGGUUAAAACUCAAAUGAAUUGACGGGGACCCGCACAAGUAGUGGAGCAUGUGGUUUAAUUCGAAGAUACGCGCAGAACCUUACCAACACUUGACAUGUUCGUCGCGACUCUAAGAGAUUAGAGUUUUCGGUUCGGCCGGACGAAACACAGGUGCUGCAUGGCUGUCGUCAGCUCGUGUCGUGAGAUGUUGGGUUAAGUCCCGCAACGAGCGCAACCCUCACUUUUAGUUGCCAUCAUUAAGUUGGGCACUCUGAAAGAACUGCCAGUGAUAAGUUGGAGGAAGGUGGGGAUGACGUCAAGUCCUCAUGGCCCUUACGUGUUGGGCUACACACGUGCUACAAUGGUAUCUACAACAGGAAGCAAGACUGCGAAGUUAAGCAAAUCCCUAAAAGAUACCUCAGUUCGGAUUGCACUCUGCAACUCGAGUGCAUGAAGCUGGAAUUACUAGUAAUCGUGGAUCAGCGUGCCACGGUGAAUGCGUUCCCGGGUCUUGUACACACCGCC